CUUACAGCUACCUCCAAGAGUUUGGAGCACAGUCACGAAGCCAAAGGGCUUGGAAUGAGAGGAUGGAUUUCAGAUAAAGACUAGGAGCGGUACAUCCCACUAGAGCCCAAAGGAGAUCCCUGGAAUCAAAGACAACAGCCAGGGACCCUGCUACUCUACCGACUCCCAGUACAUCAAAGCCAUCACUUAGGCUGGUGCACGGUACCUCCAAAAAGCAAGCAAACAAACGCAGGAAGAACAAGAGUCAGUGUCUGUCUGUCUCUCUCUCUCUCCCCCCUCCCCCGUCUUCCCCCCUUUCAAAUCCUAGCCUCAGCGUCACUGCUACUGCAAUAGAUUUUUUAAAAAUGACAAGUUGUAUUUAUGUAAGUUCUAAAUAUGAACUAAUACCAUUGAAAUUACAAUGUCUGGAAUAAAAUAAAAUGCAAUCAGCACUUUAAGUAAUCUGCAAACAAAUGUAAAAACAACAUUUAUGUUUUUGAAGGCAUUGUUAGUAAACCCUGUAACAUCAGAUAGCUUGCUAAAACUUAUUUUUCUUGGAAAAAAAUGUUGCCCUAGCCUACCAAGAUUAUUUAUUUUAGAAGGAAUUUGGGAAUUAAUCAGGAAAUCUGUUUGAUUAGAAAAUAAUUCUUCAUUUUGAGAGAUUUUCCAAUGCUCUUAAGAGCAUGCAGCUUCUUAGUCAAGACUAGAGAGAAAAAAACCGGUUUAGGAUUUUGCAGGGUUACCUCAUCUAAUCCUUCUGAAUUCACUCUGGGAAUAAUGCUAUUUUAUUUAGAGGAGGGAAAAAAAGAAAAUACAUUUAGAAAAAUCAGGGGUUUCCUCUCUGUGAGCCAAAUCUGGGUUGCCAUUCAAACUUUUCCUGGCUGCUUUUCCAUAUGCAGGACAGCUGAUCAAUAAAGCCAAGUCCAGCCUGGCUUGCUACAGGUUUCACCAGUCAGGGCUUGCAAAACCUUUGUCAUUUUCUAAAAAUAAAAAAGCUAAAAGUUAUUGUAGAAGAAGGGGCUUUUUUUUUGUCCCCUGCACAAUGUGUCUUUUGUGAGGUUAAUGCCAUUCUGGGCUCUCGAUAGCCCUGGACAAUGGGGAACUCUCUAGGAGCCUGCAAAGACUCUAGCUUUUUUCUUUCUUGCCUUUUUUUUUUUUUUUUUUUUAAGGGAAGGAUGAAACAUUCCUACAGUCCAAACACAACCUCUACUUUGAUUAAAUAAAUAUUUAUCUUUAUUGUAGCCAUUGUAUAUUUUUACCUUCAGUUUGUCCGGUUUCUGAUUAUUAUUUUAAAUUUUUCAAUGGCAACAGUUAAUCUUUUUUUUUUUUUCCCUUUCAGUCCAAAGGGCAGGUCAGUGUAAAAUGUAGCUGACUGAAGGAAGACUGGUAAAUUCUGAAUUUUUCCAUAAUACAUCAGGUAAGGAAAAUUGUUCAGACCCUCAGGAAUAUAUUCACUUCCUUUUUAUCUGUCUUCACGAAUCUUCAUAAAGCUGUUUAUUUUUUUAAAGAUGUAGUAGAAUUAAAUUCCUCUUUGUAGAUCUUGAAAAAUCACUUAAAUACUAUGUAUUUAUUUUCUUUUAAAAUGUAAAUAGUACUAGAAGUGAACUUGUAGCUUGUUUCUUAUAUAAAACGGUGCGGAGGAAGUCAGUAUUUCCUUUGGUAUAAGCUAUUUGGAGGAAAUUCUGGAUAUAAAUGUAUUUCAUGUUACAAUAUAGGAAAAUGUCAGCUUAAUCUGGUAAAUACUUAUGCUAAUUUUACUGAGUGAAUUCGUUAUAAGGAGGAGAGGUACCAAGCCCGUAUGAUUGAAUAAUGCUUAGACGAUAAUCCAGCAUCUAUAUGGAUUAUUUUACGUACAAAAUGAAAAAAAAAGGAAACAAGAAAUUCAGAAUCUAAAUCUUUCAUUUAGCUGGCAAGAGGGCAGAAAAUUUUAGACCAACCUGUUUUUAAGACAUUUACAUUAGGAGGGAAAGUGGAAUGUAGGCUAAAUAUUGCAUUGCUGUGUACAUUUCUCUAGCUCUCACUCAAAUGAAUGGAUAUAGAUAUAAAAACACAAAAAUAUAUGCAUAAAGGGGUACAUAAAUAUACAUUUGAAUGAC
This 2075-nucleotide long non-coding RNA is filed under the name Pongo abelii (Sumatran orangutan). Its description in RNAcentral is "lincRNA". The record is from RNAcentral. Lineage: Eukaryota; Metazoa; Chordata; Mammalia; Primates; Hominidae.